GAUGAACGCUGGCGGCGUGCCUAAUACAUGCAAAUCGAGCGAACAGAUAAGGAGCUUGCUCCUUUGACGUUAGCGGCGGACGGGUGAGUAACACGUGGAUAACCUACCUAUAAGACUGGGAUAACUUCGGGAAACCGGAGCUAAUACCGGAUAACAUAUUGAACCGCAUGGUUCAAUAGUGAAAGGCGGCUUUGCUGUCACUUAUAGAUGGAUCCGCGCCGCAUUAGCUAGUUGGUAAGGUAACGGCUUACCAAGGCAACGAUACGUAGCCGACCUGAGAGGGUGAUCGGCCACACUGGAACUGAGACACGGUCCAGACUCCUACGGGAGGCAGCAGUAGGGAAUCUUCCGCAAUGGGCGAAAGCCUGACGGAGCAACGCCGCGUGAGUGAUGAAGGUCUUCGGAUCGUAAAACUCUGUUAUCAGGGAAGAACAAAUGUGUAAGUAACUGUGCACAUCUUGACGGUACCUGAUCAGAAAGCCACGGCUAACUACGUG
Molecule: ribosomal RNA, 497 nt
Filed under: uncultured bacterium
Lineage: Bacteria
Description: partial 16S ribosomal RNA
Rfam family: Bacterial small subunit ribosomal RNA
Source: RNAcentral